RNAcentral lists this ribosomal RNA (291 nucleotides) under Triticum aestivum (bread wheat). RNAcentral's name for it is "partial small subunit ribosomal RNA". Lineage: Eukaryota; Viridiplantae; Streptophyta; Magnoliopsida; Poales; Poaceae. The record is from RNAcentral.
AUGCUAGAGAGCGUGGCUGCGGGUGUGUCGAUGGUGGCGUGGCCGCUGUUCGCCGAGCAGAGGUUGAACGCGGUGAUGAUGUCGUCAGAGCGGGUGGGCCUGGCGUUGUGGGAGAGGCCUCCCCUCGGUAAGGACGGAGCGGUUGCUGGUGGGAGGAGGUGGCGGCGCUGGUCAGAGAGCUUAUGGAAGGGGAGAAGGGCGCCGCUGCGCGAACAAAGGUCAGCCACCUUCGGGAUGAGGCUGCGAUUGCUUCGGCGCAGAGCGGGCCGUAGGAUCGAGCUCUCGUGGUAG